GAGGAUAUAGCUCAAGUGGUAGAGUGCAUGCUUAACAUGCACGAGGUCCUGGGUUCAGUUCCCCAGUGCCUCCA
Molecule: transfer RNA, 74 nt
Filed under: Camelus bactrianus (Bactrian camel)
Lineage: Eukaryota; Metazoa; Chordata; Mammalia; Artiodactyla; Camelidae
Also listed under: 2 other names
Rfam family: tRNA
About the family: Transfer RNA (tRNA) molecules are approximately 80 nucleotides in length. Their secondary structure includes four short double-helical elements and three loops (D, anti-codon, and T loops).
Source: Rfam by way of RNAcentral